UCCGACCUCAGAUCGGACGAGAUUACCCGCUGAAUUUAAGCAUAUAACUAAGCGGAGGAAAAGAAACUAACAAG
Molecule: ribosomal RNA, 74 nt
Filed under: Inchoatia inchoata regina
Lineage: Eukaryota; Metazoa; Mollusca; Gastropoda; Stylommatophora; Clausiliidae
Also listed under: 2 other names
Description: Sericata regina partial 28S ribosomal RNA
Rfam family: Eukaryotic large subunit ribosomal RNA
Source: RNAcentral